Molecule: long non-coding RNA, 639 nt
Organism: Mesocricetus auratus (golden hamster)
Lineage: Eukaryota; Metazoa; Chordata; Mammalia; Rodentia; Cricetidae
Exons: 3
Source: RefSeq, a predicted model, not a curated record
CUCCGUGGUGAAACCCAAACACUCUACGGUUGGCGUGACGUGAGGAAGAAAGGAAGACCGCGGCAUGCUCACGACAACAUUGUGCUCAUCCUGAGCAACAACAGCCAGGCUAGCAUCCUCCUUCGGUAUCCCAGAGAGACGGAGGAUGAGCGAGCGGGGACUGCCCAUCGGCAGCACUCACGCUGUGUGUGAGCACACACUUGCCAAGAGUGAUGCCCAUCCAAAUGUCAUCUGUUCACCCUGGAACUGGCACCCGUGAACUAAGAAGCUCCUAGAUGGUUGAUUGACAGACGUAUGCAGAGCACCGUCAGAGUGACGCUUGAGUACUGCAUUCCCAGUCAGUCCUGAGUACCUCAAUGAGAAAGUGUGUCAGGAGCUUGGGAGAUGGCCAAGCAAAGUGCUUACUGUGCAAGCAUGAAGACCCGAGUUCAUACUUCAGAACCCACACGAAACGUCAGAUGCGAUGGUGCACACUUGUCAUCCCAACGCUGGGGAGGUGGAGACAGGCAGAUUCCAGCCUACAGCUGCCCCACCACAGACGCCCCACGGAGGCCCUACGGACACCUCAUGGCUACACCACAGCCGACCCCACCAUGGCCGACCUACCAGCUUCCCCAAGACCACCCCACAGCCACCCCA